RNAcentral lists this ribosomal RNA (467 nucleotides) under uncultured bacterium. Its description in RNAcentral is "partial 16S ribosomal RNA". It matches the Rfam family "Bacterial small subunit ribosomal RNA", at positions 28 to 523 of the family's 1533-position model. The record is from RNAcentral.
GACGAACGCUGGCGGCGUGCUUAACACAUGCAAGUCGAGCGGGAAACUUCGGUUUCCAGCGGCGGACGGGUGAGUAACACGUGGGCAACCUGCCUCACAAUGAGGGAUAGCCCUCCGAAAGGAGGAUUAAUACCUCAUAACACAAGAGAAACGCAUGUUUCUCUUGCCAAAGAAUUUCGUUGUGAGAUGGGCCCGCGGCGCAUUAGCUUGUUGGUGAGGUAACGGCUCACCAAGGCUUCGAUGCGUAGCCGACCUGAGAGGGUGAUCGGCCACAUUGGAACUGAGACACGGUCCAGACUCCUACGGGAGGCAGCAGUGGGGAAUAUUGCACAAUGGAGGAAACUCUGAUGCAGCAACGCCGCGUGAGUGAUGAAGGUCUUCGGAUUGUAAAGCUCUGUCUUCUGGGACGAUAAUGACGGUACCAGAGGAGGAAGCCACGGCUAACUACGUGCCAGCCGCCGCCGUAA